This 648-nucleotide ribosomal RNA is filed under the name marine metagenome. RNAcentral's name for it is "bacterial SSU rRNA". It matches the Rfam family "Archaeal small subunit ribosomal RNA", at positions 378 to 1025 of the family's 1478-position model. The record is from RNAcentral.
ACUCUGAGUGUUUUCGAUUUUUUCGUAAACUUUUCUGAAGCGUAAAUAACUUUAGGAAUAAGAGCUGGGUAAGACGGGUGCCAGCCGCCGCGGUAAUACCCGCAGCUCAAGUUGUUUGGACUAUUAUUGGGUCUAAAGCGUUCGUAGCCGGAAAAGCAAGUUCUUUGUGAAAUCCAACAACUUAAUUGUUGGGCGUGCAGGGAAUACUACUUUUCUUGGGACCGGGAUGGGCCAAGGGUACUUUUGGGGUAGGGGUGAAAUCCAAUAAUCCUAAAGGGACCACCUGUGGCGAAGGCGCUUGGCUAAAACGGGUCCGACGGUGAGGAACGAAAGCUAGGGGAGCGAACGGGAUUAGAUACCCCGGUAGUCCUAGCUGUAAAUGAUGCAAAUUAGGUGUUGCGCACUCUUCGUGAGUAUGCAGUGCCGAAGGGAAGCCGUUAAAUUUGCCACCUGGGAAGUACGGUCGCAAGGCUGAAACUUAAAGGAAUUGACGGGGGAGCACAACAAGGGGUGGAGCUUGCGGUUUAAUUGGAUAAUACUCCGGAAAUCUCACCAGGAGCGACAGCAGUAUGAAAGCCAGGUUGACGAUCUUGCUAGACUUGCUGAGAGGUGGUGCAUGGCCGCCGUCAGUUCGUGCCGUAAGGUGUU